This 5790-nucleotide long non-coding RNA is filed under the name Hordeum vulgare. Its description in RNAcentral is "long non-coding RNA (HVUL_LNC004237)". Lineage: Eukaryota; Viridiplantae; Streptophyta; Magnoliopsida; Poales; Poaceae. The record is from RNAcentral.
ACUUGCGAGAACCUCGUCGGCAAGGAGGCCGCUCGGGGCAACGUCAGCUUGCCGGGAGUGCAAGAUAUUCCUCCCCGGCAGCACCUUCAUACGAUGUGGCUAAGAAUGUCGCGAUGCGCAAGAUAAGUACAGAGGCAAACCUCUUGCCAGACUCUUGGUAGACUAGUUGUAUCCUUUUGAAGUAUCGACUUUUAUAUGAAAAUCUGGCGUGCAUAUGGACCUUGCUAGGAUCAGUGCUCUCCGACUUCCUUUCGAUCCUGUUCAACAACUUGAGCGGCCAAAGAGCACCCUCAUCUCGUUUAGAACUCGUUCAACAUUUCAGACGGCUACGUAGCACCGUAUUUCGCCUUGAGCCGCGCUCGAUGAUUUACAUGGUUGUACUGAGUGCGGCAAGGAGUCUUGCCGGUGAUGACCUCCUCUGUUGAGUUUUCUGAGGAUCCACUCCUCUAAGUACCCGCGGCAGGAUAAGUCAAUCCGGCAAGCAUCCGGAAAGUGCAAGGGAAUAAUCAUACAAGAUGAGAGUCGAAUAAAGGCUGCAUCUAUUCAUUCAUUUGUCUGGAUACAUUUGAUUCCACUUACAAAGUGUUGUUGUCCUAACCUAAAGACUUCGUCUUUUAAACGAUGAUCGACCUACGCGAAGGAGUGAAGUUCAAGAUGGCAAAAAGGCGGAGCCCGCGGCCUGGCUAGGGCUCGCUCCCCACGACUAGCACUGUGCCGACGAGAACGGGAUCAGCCCCGGCAAGCACCACCUGGCCCUCCUCUGCUCGGAUUCGAGAGAACAUGACACAGGAAGGGGCGAAGGAUCCGGAGUCCGCAAGCGCGCCUCCUCCUGGGGCCAGGGGGCCAACACCCGCUCCGGUGAGGUGGCCCAAGCAGAGGGCAUGGAGAAGUCAGAGCUUGCGGAGGUGCCUCCCUUGCGAACACGAGGCACAGACGCCGGCUCCGGCAAGGUCCCCCUGCUAGGCAGGGGCAGGGCAUGAGCGGGCCCCGGCGGCAGGGCCAACAGUCUGUCGGAGCUCGGGGAGUCGUACUCCGACUUGACCCCCCGGAUCCUGGCCUGCCAAGAGCGCCACUGCCAUCGCUGUCCCCCUCGUCGCUAUCGCUCGAGGAGGGACACUCGGCGCCGCUCGAGCCCUCUUCACAGCAGCCGAGACGCACACCUAUGCGCCCGUAAAACUUGACGGGUAGCAUAUUAACCUCCGCUAGCUUAAAGCGGAGGAUAUGCCCUUCCUCGAGGCUAUGGGUGUGGGCGAAGGCUUUCUAGCCCCGCCCAAGCAGCAUGGAGAGGCGCUUAGGAUACUCCACGUGCGCCUGCAUGGCGCCAUGGGAGCAGCCGUGCGCCCGCAACCACAAGACCGAUGGCUUGGCGGCCUCCAUCGCCCUAGCGAAAGGGCGGGGAAGGUGCAGAUGACCCCGCAGAGCGUCGUGCAGCUCCACGACGAACUCCAGCGCCAUUCUGUUCGAGUGCCCUAAAAGCCCAAGGCAAGGCGGAGACACUGGAAUAGCACUCCGCCUCGCUCGACCACGUCCCCGACGUCCUCCACCCCUCGAGCCUCUCCCGCCACGGUCGACGGGGCUGCUGCUGGCUGCAGGCCCAGAAGCUGUGGCAUGAUCCAAGAGGGAUACCCUUGCCGCCCUAGCGGCCAACGGAGGUCGACCACGUUCCCUAACCAUGGUUAGGGACGGGUGCCACCGAGAGGCGCUGAAGGCUUCGAGAGUGAGAUGGAUGGAAAAAACCUCCACGCAAACACCCUAAUUUAUAGCGCAAAGCUCGAAGGCCACCCUCCUCGCUCCAGAAGCCGCCGCCCCUCUCGCCCAAUCGCCCUCAAGUCAUGAGCGGAAAAUGGAACCUCCCUGAUGCACCAAUGCAUGCAGGGGCGGGCCCAUCCACGCCCGCGGCUUUUGAGGCCAUGAUCACCACUUGCCCGAUCACCGCUGCGCAUACCCUACGCGUGGCAGAAGCAUUUCCAAGGAAUAAAGGGGCCAUCACGCACACGCCGCGCACCCUCCCACUUCAGGCGUUCAAUGUGCGACGUCGGGAAAGAAAGCCUACAAAGGCUUGAUUCUGAUAAGCCCGGGGCCUGCGAGUGCGUGCACUGCUUUGGGCCUGGCCCAACAACGCCUCGCAUGCGUGUGUGGCCCAGGCCCGGGGGCUCCGGUCGGUGCACUAAAGACCGGGGUCUCCAUUUACCCGGACUAGUGCGUGGACACUGGCAGCCCCCUCCACAGCGACAAGGCGCGUCUCUGGUGUAUAGGGCGGAAGAAAGCCUCGGAAGCCCACCAAGUGCAGACUGGAAGCCCCCCGGCAAGCGCCCGCUUGUUGGGAAUGAAGAAGAGACCCCGGCAGGAGCUCCCCCCCGGGAAGAUAGACACUGCCAAGGCAAGACCCUCCCGCCAAGGAAGAAGGACUGAGCCCCGGCAAGCCAUCCUUGCCGGGAAUAUUGACAAGGCCUCGGCAUGCCAUCACCUCCCUGCCGAGAGGAACAAGAAGAUCCCCCAGCAAAGUAACCCUGCCGGGGAGGAAAAGAAUGCCCGAAGAGAGUCGCGGGCCCAGGGCGCCUUCGCGUCCUAUGAACGCCUCCACCGACGAACACGCCACCGCCGAUGCAUGGACCACGCGUUCGUCCACACGCUAGCGCAACACCCCGAAGUUGCCACGUGUGGGUACGUGUCCAACCCCCCUCACGAGGUUAGGAAGUCUAUCAAAGCAUUUAAUGCACCGCAGUAACACUGUGGCGGGCGGUCGGCGUUGUUCCACUCGUGAACCCACGUUCACCCGUUGAGCCACUGUGGUGACCCCUUCGCCUAUAAAAGGAGGCCUGAGGCUCAAUAGAAAGGACUGUUGGCUUUUUGACCAAUCGAAGGCUGUAAGAGGGACAGAUCUACAGUAAACUUAAACAAAUAACUAAACACAUGCAGGAGUAGGGUUUUACGCACAACGCGGCCCGAACCUGGGUAAAAUUGACCUUGCCAGGCCCUGACUAUUGGUUCUGCUCUUGCCGCGACCCCUCUCCCCGCCAAACUAGCAAAAGGAGACCGUUGAGGCCCCCAUAGGUGUCGAUCCUUUCACCGACAACGGGUGAUCCAUCCGAUCGCGCGCGAGGUCCGGGACGUCGCUCGGUGGAGGCGGCGUGACGGCGUCUGAGAUGAAGCCGGNGUCCCAACGCAGCCGGUGCGUGACCGUAUGAAGGCGGGUGGUGAUGAAAUGGUCCCAGUCGGAGAACGACGACAACAACCGGCACAAGACGAGGGCGAGCAGACACGUAGUUGACGGCCGUUAGGGGCCGCAGCAUCGCAAGGGGCGCCUCGUCGGUUAGGAGGCCGGGCCACGCCGAUGUCUGAGUAGAGGCACGAGAUUGAUGGAGGCGGCGAGCGACGCAAACCGAUCUUAGAUCAGAAAACCAAAAAGAAAAAAUAUCGAUCAAAGCGACCAACAGAAGAGAGAAAACGCGGAUCAAGAAAUUGCGAAAAAGACUCUCUAGGGCAGCCAGAUAACACGACCGGCGGAUGAACCCUAGGUACGGCCGGCGCGGCUUCAGUGGCAGUCAUGGGGACCGAUAGCCCGAGGGCAACGCAUGGGGCGAAAGCGACAGACAGUGGCUAGGUCUCGGAACUUGGUGCAGAUAUCAUGUUAAAAGUGUAGAGACUUAGAUUUGGGCUAUGCAACUCUCAAUAUUGAUCGGAUGCACUAGACACGUAUAUAUAAGGUAUAAAAUAGGCCUCAACCUCAACUAUACAAGAAACUAGGAGGUGGGUCUAUGACACAAUAUACACAGUGGCGAAGCCACAUAAAAGCUGUGUGAUCACUUGACCACACAACAUUUUAGUGAAACUCUUAACUACAAGGAAAAAUUAUUGAGAAGAUAGUACAAAAAACUGUAAAUACACAUCUAAUUGACAUUACAACUUAAAGUGUACGUCACAUACUUGAAUUUUUUUCACCGCCACUGAACAUACAUGCACAAAUAUAUACUCAACCCCCUGGCAGUCAAAGCACGCCGAGAGACCCAAAGAAUGAAACGAAGCUCCUCGAAGAUGAAAAUUGACAGUCCCUUAGUUAUCACAUCGACGAACUGCGGUCGGAACAUGAAAAAUCGGAUGUGACUAAGGGCGUCAUGUUCAAGCACAAAGUGGAUAUCAAGCUCCAUGUGCUUCCUGGAUAUAGACGGAUUUAUGAAAUACGUAGUUGUUAUAUUGAUUGAGCUUCCUAGACAUUAUAUAUAGAAGUACAAUGAUCAAUUUAAGUAUAAGUUAAAAUAAGACAAAUAAUAAUUUAUCUUAUAUUUCGUAAUAAUCAAUAUAGAGUGGGUGUCAGGGGAAGCCUUACAAUAGCGGCUUCGCAGCUGGUCAGCUGACAAUGAUGAGUACAGGGCACAAGGAUGGUGAUAGCGACGGGCGAAGUGCACCAGCGCGCGCUCUGGGCGCGGCCGAACCUUGUGGCUGGUGCUGGAUCGGCAGAGGGAGAAUGACUGGCUGGUGCGUAUGCGUGCAUGGGAACAAAUGGAUAUUCUUAUCCGGAAGCCACCAAUGGGAGGCCGUAUCUUAUCCGCGCCUCGCAUAGAUAACACUUGCCUGCCCUGACAACUCGCCUCUCAACCACGAGUGAGAUCGAUCUUCCCGCGUACCAAGCCCACCGACCAACAUGGCAGCGUCUCUCCAAGCCGCGGCCACGCUGAUGCCGGCCAAGAUCGGCGGCCGGGCCUCCUCCGUGCGGCCGUCGUCGCACGUCGCCCGGGCGUUCGGCGUCGACGCUGCCGCCAGGAUCACGUGCUCCCUGCAAUCCGACAUCAGGGAGGUCGCAAGCAAGUGCGCCGACGCCGCCAAGAUGGCCGGCUUCGCCCUCGCAACCUCUGCCCUCCUCGUCUCUGUAAGCUGACUAAUCUAUUCUAUUGCCGUGCAUGGCCGUUUAUUCUAGUCCAGCUAGCUAGAGUGACUCGCGUGGGUGCAGGGCGCAAGUGCGGAGGGGGCGCCCAAGAGGCUGACCUUCGACGAAAUCCAGAGCAAGACCUACAUGGAGGUGAAGGGUACCGGCACCGCGAACCAGUGCCCGACCAUCGACGGCGGCGUCGACUCCUUCCCCUUCAAGGCCGGCAAGUACGAGAUGAAGAAGUUCUGCCUGGAGCCCACCUCCUUCACCGUCAAGGCCGAGGGCAUCCAGAAGAACGAGCCACCGGCCUUCCAGAAGACCAAGCUCAUGACCCGUCUCACUUACACCCUUGACGAGAUGGAAGGCCCGCUCGAGGUCGGCGCCGACGGCACCCUCAAGUUCGAGGAGAAGGACGGCAUCGACUACGCGGCCGUCACAGUGCAGCUCCCCGGAGGCGAGCGCGUGCCGUUCCUCUUCACCGUCAAGCAGCUCGUCGCCACCGGCAAGCCGGAGAGCUUCAGCGGGCCCUUCCUCGUGCCCAGCUACAGGGGUUCCUCUUUCCUCGACCCAAAGGGCCGUGGUGGCUCUACUGGCUACGACAACGCGGUGGCGCUGCCCGCCGGAGGCAGAGGAGACGAGGAGGAGCUGGCCAAGGAGAACGUGAAGAACGCGUCCUCCUCCACGGGCAACAUCACCCUCAGCGUGACCAAGAGCAAGCCGGAGACCGGCGAGGUGAUAGGCGUCUUCGAGAGCGUGCAGCCGUCAGACACCGACCUCGGCGCCAAGGCGCCCAAGGAUGUCAAGAUCCAGGGUGUGUGGUACGCGCAGCUCGAGUCUAACUAGAGCAUAGCAGAAGUGAAGAUACUCAUCUUUUGUGCAUGCAUACGUGGGUUGGUCGGUGGAGAGGAAAGAAUCGAGGCAAC